GACGAAGCUUCUGAAAUGGGAGUUGGUGU
RNAcentral lists this non-coding RNA (29 nucleotides) under Rattus norvegicus (Norway rat). Lineage: Eukaryota; Metazoa; Chordata; Mammalia; Rodentia; Muridae. The record is from RNAcentral.